CCUACGGGAGGCAGCAGUGAGGAAUAUUGGUCAAUGGACGAGAGUCUGAACCAGCCAAGUCGCGUGAAGGAUGACUGCCCUAUGGGUUGUAAACUUCUUUUAUAAAGGAAUAAAACGAGGCACGUGUGCCUUUUUGCAUGUACUUUAUGAAUAAGGAUCGGCUAACUCCGUGCCAGCAGCCGCGGUAAUACGGAGGAUCCGAGCGUUCUCCGGAUUUAUUGGGUUUAAAGGGAGCGUAGAUGGGUUGUUAAGUCAGUUGUGAAAGUUUGCGGCUCAACCGUAAAAUUGCCAUUGAUACUGGCAGUCUUGAGUACACUUGAGGUAAGCGGAAUGCGUGGUGUAGCGGUGAAAUGCUUAGAUAUCACGAAGAACCCCGAUUGCGAAGGCAGCUUACUAACCUGUGACUGACAUUGAUGCUCGAAAGUGUGGGUAUCGAACAGGAUUAGAUACCCCAGUAGUC
Molecule: ribosomal RNA, 460 nt
Filed under: uncultured bacterium
Lineage: Bacteria
Description: partial 16S ribosomal RNA
Rfam family: Bacterial small subunit ribosomal RNA
Source: RNAcentral